UGAUGUGUAGGUCCUCGCCCAGGAUCCAAAUCCAUGAACGCUGGGCCACUGAUGCAGAGCAUGUGAACUUAACCACUACACCACUGGGCCAGCCCUCUAAAACUAAUUUCAACAGCCGGUUUGGGAGAGCCUUCUGUGGGCCAGCACCACAGCAGGUGCCCUGGAGGAGGAAGGGGUAGGCCUGCUGCCUGGAGCUGCAUGUGGGGCAACCCUCAAGGUGGUAGGUGGUCACGGAUGCUCUAAAGGUAGUACCAGGCUGGGUUGUGAGAAGAGGCAGAAGUAGUCAUGAGCAAUGCCUUUGAUUCCUUUGCUGAAAUACAGUGAUGCUCAUGUGAUAUCUUAGGAGUAUGUGUUGGUGCCAGAUAGACCUAGUCUUGUUAUCUCUUGUUUUAGUUUAUUUCUUUGUUUAAUGGGAAACAACAGUCAAGGCUUGUUGGAAUCUGAGCAUGGGUUUGAGAUGUUCUCACAUGAAUAAACAUUAUGAACUUUGUUGCGUAAAGGUUGCGACUUAUAUUUUGGGUGCUUAUUCAACAAACAUGUUGUGGGCUAGUCCCCAGUUCUCAGAAUUGACAUUUUUGCAGAUGAGGUUUGCAAAUAAGGAGACUGCCCGGCAGAGUUGUUCCUUCCCAUUUUAUUAAACCGCUCUUCUGAUUGUCUUUAAGGGAGGUGGCUGAGAACCAGGAAGAUGCAGGGCCUGGAACCAGCUGACCUGGUGUGACUCUCGCCCUGUGGUGAUCAGGGGCCCAUCCCUCAAACCUCUAAGCUUGGUCAUUUUCAUCUGUAUACCAGGCCCACCAAGUACCUUAUGCCGGUGGUGAAGAUUCAGGGUGUGAUACAGGUGAAUGCUCGGUGCACCUGGGCCCUAAGUUUGUGUGGAGUGUACACUGCAACAAGUAGGCACUUUUGGUUUAGAAUCUGGCUGUGAGGUUUCGAGUGCAUCGCAGGUCACUGGAAGACCUCUGCUGGCCUGCCUCUUGGACUGGCUCCCUUCCCUACCACAAGAGUGACAUUUUAGGAAAGCUGCUAAAAUGUUCUCCUUUCAUUUCAUUCUUUUCUAUGCCAUAACCUCUUAGAUUUGUUUCUUGCAACUCUCGUAAGGGUGAAGAAGACAAUUCAGAAUAAAUGUUUGGCCCUGAAGCUGUUUGGGCCGCUUCGUGACACCCUAUGGAGAUAUGAGGACUUGGCUGCUGUGAGGAGCAGUGAGAAAAUGUGGGGGAAGGUGCUCGUCAACUUUGAGACACUCCACGAAGCCAAGCACACAGGUCUCUACCAUCCAUGUGGCCGUACCCCUCCCAGACGGGACGCUGGCCACAGAGGGGGCCACAUGGGAUUCACUGGAAGUUGUGUCUUUAUUUUUUUUAACUUACCUGAUUCACCCAGUUAUGUCCUUAUCUUUGUUUUUAGACUGACCCAGUUCACCAGAUGUGGGAUUUGGAGUGUACAGAAGUCCUCCCGCCCCCACUUCUUUAUUGCCCUCCUCCCAGACAUGACACUCUUGCCUACCUCUGGAAGGUCGUGGCAUGCUGGUCUGUGCUUUGUCUUCCUGAUCCAGUCCCAACAGCCACCUAAUAGGAGGGAAUUCCUUGCCCCUUCCCACCUGCCCCCUCCCUUGUUCCUCCGGCCCCACCUGACCACACGUUUCCUGAAAUAGAGAGCCUUUGGAUGGUUUUGCCUUUUCCUUAGUACCUGUCACAGUGUCCCAACAUAGAGGGUCUCACUAGACAGGAAUACAGUGAGGGGCUGAGGAGAGAGACCCCAGCCCGUGUUUGUGAGAUGCUGUCCCACAGAGCCGCUGGUGCUGCAGGGCGACCAGUCAGACAUGGGAGGGAUGCCUCCCACGGUGUCUUCAGGUUGGAGUCCCUGUCCUGCUCUAGUUUUGUAAACAUAUUUCUUUUAAAAAACAAACUUUUUAUUGAAAUUUAAGAUACAUACAGAAAAGUGCACAUAGUGUAAGCUUAGAGCCUUAGGGUCCUCACAGACAACGCCCAGGUGAAAUGGAAAACAUUGAGGAUGUAGUAGCAAGUGUUUGGGACUUAAGCUUGAUCAGUGGCUGCCCUGGGCUCAUAUGUGAGUGGUUAUGUAGUUGAUAGUUUUUUUAACUGACACUGGAGAUUUCUAGCUGAGUGUUGUCCCUCUGAUUCAUGGGUGAGUCCGCCACUUGGCGGGAGGAAAUUCACAAUGUGGCAGGUGUGGGGAGACCUUUGUAUACCCUCCUGGGCUCCUCCUGACAACUGAGAAGUUCUUGGCUUGACGUUGUUGAUUUCAGCCAGACAGUAAGCACGCAGGCCAGUCAAGGAGGCGGCGCACGCUUCGGGAGUCCUGAGUCCAUGGUGGUCUCCACCCAGCCAUUCUCUUCUUCCUGCAUGGAGGCACUGCAAAAAUUAGACAUUCCUUCGAGGGCCUCAGGUCAGACACUGAGUUAGCCUAUGGGAAUGAAGUGGUAUUCAAAACAGCAGCCCAUCCACAGGAGCUGGAGGCAGUGGCUGUGCACAGCUGUGCAGUGUGGGCACUGGUGGCCUUGGUCAGUCAUCUUGAUGAGGCCAGCGAGUCAGCUCUAUAUAGGAGCUACUUGAGUUCACGGGGCAUGGGGGAAGGCAUGUGCAAAGGCAUAGAGGUUUAAAAUAAUUGCUCUUCAGACCUCUAAUUCCAUAGACUCAUUUUCCCUGUUUUGAGCUGUGGAAUUAUAUUGUAUGUUCUCUUUUUUUGCUGAGCACUAUGUGAGAGGGACAGUGGUCCACUCCCUGUCGGUGCUGUGUUCCUCCUACUGCCCAGAUAUACAGGCCUUCUCUCCUCCUUCCGUCCUGAUGCUCAGCUAGGCACUUCCAGGUCCCUGCUGUCACCCACAGUGCCACUGUGAACAUGGCAUAUGUGUCCUUUGCUGGACUAUGCAGGCCUUUCUGUUGGGUGUGUCCCUGGGGUGGAAUUGCUGCGUCAUAGAGUGUGCAUUCAGCUCUAGUAGUUUGGGUACCAAGGUUGUGGUGGCUUCAUAGUUGUGAAGUGUUUCCCCAUUUUCUGUCUUUUGGAAGAGUUUGUAAUAUUGGUGCCAAUUAUUCCUUAAGCGUUUGGUAGAGUCCACUAAUGAACUCUUUGUUUUCUUUGUAGAAAGUUUUUACCUCCUGUAUUCUAUUUCUUUUGUAGUUCUAGAACUGUUCAGACUUUUCUAUUUUGUAAGUUGUGUUUUUCUAGAUGUUUGUCAGUUUGCACUAUAUUUUCAAAGUUUUGGCAUAAAGUUUUGCAUGAUAUCCUGUUUCUUUUUUAGUGUCCAUAGGAUCUGUAGUGAUUUCUCCUUUUCCAUUCCUGAUGUUAGUUAUUUAUAGCCUCUCUCUUUUUUUUCUUCAACAACCCUAUCAAUUUUAUUAGUCUUUGCAAAGAACUGUUGGCUUCAUUGAUCCUCAAUACUGUAUUUUUUUUUCUCUUUCACUAGUUUCUGUUCUUUAUUUUGUAUUUUCUUCUAAUUUAAGGGGGCUUAACUUCUUCUUACUGUCAGCUCUUGAGUUGCAUGCGUAGAUCACUGAUUUUUUCCUGUUCCCAUGUAUACAUCUAAGAUGAGAAAAAUGCCUUUUCAGCUGCUUCCUACAAGUUUAGAUUUGUGAUUUUUUUCUUUAACAUUAAGUUCAAAAUAUUUUCUAAUUUCUAUUGUGAUCCCUGCUUUGACCAAUGGACUAUUUAGUUUUUAAUCCUUUUUAAUAGGCAUUUAAAAAAAAUUAGUUUCUAGCUUAAACCCACUGUGCUCAAGGGACAGACUCUCUGUGAUUUCAGACCUUCAACGUUUGUUGAGACUUGCUCUUUGGUCCUGCAUGUGGCUGAUUUUGGUGAAGACUUUUUGUGCUUGAAAACCAUGUUUAUUCUCACUGGGGCAGUGUCAUACAAAUGUCAUACAAUGUAAUAAAAAUGUCAGUCAGGUCAGGUUUGUUUUUCUUGUGAACAUUAAUAAAGGAAACGUCGAGUAAAAUUGGAGUUGGGAAGGUCUGGAGAGGGAGUUCUCGGCCCUACCACGCAUCCUUGGUCGCUGACCAGGAGGAGCCGUGCCUGGCAUCUCAGACAGGAAGUUAGCUACCACUUUGCUGCCCAGGAGGGGGAAGGAAGAAUUUCUUCUUGCCCAGUGACAAGCUCAGCCAGUGGAAAACGCUGCAGCUCAGCCAGUGAGGAGCUGUCACCCUGCUCAAUUCUUACUCCCCCCAAUGAGCUUUCAUUUAGAACAGCCCCUCCCAACUCCCCUUUCUCCCUGUAAAAGAACCCCGCCUUUGUUCUCUGGACGUUGCCUAUGGUUUUUGCCAUGGCUUGCUUCUCCUGAAUUGCAAUUCCUCUGGCUAUUCUCAAAUAACCUCAUUUUGCUGGUAAGGUAACUGGCUGUUUUAUUUAAAGUUGAUGUUAAGUGGUGUUGGAAGUGGGAUCUGAAGGAGGCAACCCCCGAGAGACAGCGACCCCAGAAGCGAGUGCGAGACUGGCACUGAGGCCCCGUGCUCAUUGCGUCUGCGAGCUGCUGACUGUGAGUUCCAGCUUGGUCAGUCUCCUCAGAGUCCCAGCUCCGCUCUGCGUGUGUUUUGAGCACUCCAACUUUAUCUGGGAUUGUGAAAGGCUCUGUCCUUUCUGGUUCAAGGCUUCGUCCUUGGCAUCAUGCUUCCUCCUUGGUACGUACUCAGUUAUUUUCCUUUUGGUAGUGCACUGAAAGGCUAGGUUCCUUUUGGAAUCAGGCUAGCUGGGAAUUUUCUUUUGGUCUUGGAAAAUUUUGAGAAGUAGGAUCCCAGUCAUCUGAAUGCUCUAAGGGCAGCCCUCCUUUAGAGUCCCUGGGCUGUUUUGUGUUUAAAAACUGUAUUCCCUCUGCAUGUGCAUUUUUGACUAAAUGAACUGAUUUAACAGACUGAUUUAGAACACCAUUGGCCAUUAAGGGGAACUUUUGAUCUCCCCAAACUUGCUUUUCUCAGGACUAAAUCAGAAAGCCAUGGCUCUAAAAUAAAACAGACUGAAUGGUAUGCCUGUUUUAAUUGGCAUCUAAAGGCUUCCAGAGAUAUUUAAGACUCCAAAAUUGCCUCUUUGCAGAACACAAGUUUUAAAUUACCUGAGGUGAACAAACAGUUGAAAGAAGGCAAAAUGACUUCUGAGACCUCUUUUUUCCCCUCCCGCUUCUUCUUUGUCUCUGGAUGUGUGGUGGCCAUCAUGUGCUCAGGCCCCACCCCCGGCACUAUCUUCCUCUCUUCCCUUCCGCAAAAACCUGCCCCUUUAAAAUAAGACUCUCUGAGGAUUCAAAUGCUAAACCCCUGAUUGCUAUCUCUAAAUUAACUGGAGAAAAUAAACAACUAUAAGGAAAAUUUAAAUAGAAAUUACCCUAGACUUUUGAUAAUAGACAAAUAAAUCCCAAAACUCCUAGGAGAAAAUUUGCCUUCUUUUUCUGUCUGUGUGCUGAUGCUUCUUGGUGAGUUACCCAUCCUGCUCAAAAGGGAGAAAUAAUUCUAGAAUUUGACAGCAUUCAAAUAAAAAUCUUUAGGGGAAAAAACCCGACUGUCUCAACAGGUAAUCUUAACUUAAUCUGUAUGCCAGAAACUCAGUUUGGAUCCAACUAUUCUUUUGAGUUUUAUGUUAUUUUACCUGAGACAUAGCUAAAGUUUUCUAAUAAAAGCUGUGAGAUCUCUGUGGCUAUCUGCAUGCUAUGUAUGUCUAUGUGCAUAUGCUAUAGAUAGGUUGUGUAUCACCUCUGGAUGGUAUUGCCAAAAUUAAUUUGUAAAAGAGCUUUAUUUAAUUGCCUUAAAGGAAGUCAAGCAUUCAUAUGAAUUGGGUAUUCACAAAACUCUCCAAAAUAUAAUAAACUAACUCAAACGUGUUUCAAGUUCAGAUGAUCUGGGAUAAUCUUUGGUAAAUAAAGCUAAUUUAACCUUGGUUUAAUUAAAACAGGUAUGUCUUCAAGAGUUACCAUCGUGUACUUGAAAACAGCUUCCCCAAAUCUUUUUGGUAACUUGAAACUUUAGAGUUUUGCUAAGUUAAACUACAUGAUGGGCAGUAGUUAAACAUCUAGAUCAUUUCCAAAUAAGAUAAAACAGUGAAAUAUUAUUAAAAAUAGGUCUGUCUGCUUUUGGCUUCUAAUUGCAGGAAAACUAAAGAUGUUUGGGCCUGUUGGCAAACAUGUUUUGUGCCACAUGGGAAAUUUUACCAUGAGAAAAAUGUACUUCUAGGAAUUAUGAAAUAUAUUUAUAAAUUUUCUAGUAACAGACUAUUCACAAUUGUUUGAAGCUACUAGAAAUAACAAGAGAUGACUCUGUAAGAAGGAAAGUAGGAUGUAUGUUUUUGCUAAGAAAAGGUAUGAGGAAUGGAAAUGUACUUUUGUUGAGAGAAAACAAAGGACAAAAUCUGAAUGUUUCUUUAAAAAGUUGUAGGUUUGUGGAAAGGAAUCUUGGGGAAGGAAUUGUAUGCAUGGUUAGGAUUGGCUACAUUGAAAGUAACCUGAUACAAAGUUAAAAUUCAUCUUUCUUUUUUAUUAAAAGGACAAAGUUUUCUUGGGCUCUUGGCCUACUUUUGAUAAGAUUUUGAAAGCUUUUUUACCUUUUAAAUAAUAUGCCUAGAAAACAGAGAUUUUGUGUUUUAUUAAGAGAAUUUCCUGUUUUUUUUAUCAAGUUUUUAAUUACUUAGGAAAACAACUUCUUCUUAAUAUUAAAAGAGCUCAGUUUGGCUUACAACUAUUUAACCUUUUGUAUUUGCCUUUGAAAUCUUUCAUUUAACUUGGGUCAAAUAGAUAUAACGUUAUCACUUGUAAUUCUAGUUACUAUCUAAAAGCGUAUGCCACAAAAAUACCCAGAUUUCCUUGUCAAGUGCAUUUACCCAUUGCCUUUUUAAAAUAGUCUUUUGUUGGGGCUGGCCCUGUGGCUGAGUGGUUAAGUUUGCGUGCUCCACUUUGGUGGCCCGAGGUUUGCAAGUUCGGAUCCUGGGCGCGGACCUACGUACUGCUCAUCAAUCCACACUGAGACAGUGUCCCACAUACAAAAUAGAGGAAGAUGGGCACAGAUAUUAGCUCAGCAACAAGCUUCCUCACACAAAAAAAAGGAAAAAAAAGUCUUUUGCCAUUUACAGACAGUUACUGUUUUCCUCUGAUACUUUUACAGAUGUUUCAUCUUCAAAGAGAUUCACGGGAAAGUCUUUAAUAAGUACUCUGGAAUACAGGUUUUGAUAACUUUAAGAUCAUAACACUGAACUGUGUGGAAAUUUCUGGAACUCGAGUGGAGGGCUGAUUGCUGUAACGUUUUGUUUUCCAGAUGUAAAGGACCCCUUUUUCCUCCCCUUUAGGCUAUGUGUAACUUACAGCAAUUUGGCAAAGUGUAUCUUUGCAACAGAGGUUGAAACAUUUAUCUUUUUCUCCCUACCUGAUCCUUCCAGCACUUGGACACUCUUAAGUAUUCUUUUCAUGACAAAUAUAUAUUUGCAUAAAAUCAUUGAGAAUCUGUUCUCCUUAUCACAGGACACAAUUGGAAGUAUUGGCUAAUAUUAUCAAGGCUUUGACCACAUUUUCAUGUUCAAGAGAGAGGUACAUAGACUCAAAAAUAACCACAUAGCUUUAAGGAUUGUCUAGAAAAAUCAGCCUAGUACCUUGCUUACAAGCUUUCAGCAAAGCAAUCUUAAAAAAACAAACAAAAAAAAAGGAGCUUGUAUGGUCAAUCACCCUUUCUAGCUGCAGUUAUCAGAACAAGUUUAAUACAAACAAAUUAGUUUUAACUAUGAUUAUGUUUAAUAAAAUUGGGGGUAAUCGUAGAGAGAAAUUACGUUUGUACCUUCUUAGGUAUUAAAUUCUAGUCCUAUUAAUUGUCUUUGAGGUUUUGUUAUAUAUGUGUAAGCUGGACUGGAUCCUAAAUUCUUCUAGUUUUCUUAAGUGUCUUGCUGCAACUCCACAAACUAACAUUUCCAAUUUUGCUGCCCUUGAGAUCUCCUUGGAGGGUACUAUGCCAGGUCCUGCUCACUACCAGAUGGCAGCCAGACUUCAGGGACUCGAGCCUUGGGUGCACAUCUCACAGCUGAAGAAGGCUCCUCCUGACAUCCAGUCCUGUACAAACACUGGGGACCUCAAAUCAAAUUGACUAGGAAGAGAAGCAGCCGACACCUGAGGCAAUGGCUUCCCCCAGCUGACCAGACCAGGCCUGUACACCCUCUUCCCACUGUUGUUUCUUACUUUAUUUUCUCCCCCUCCUUCCUGGAAGGACAAUGCCCUUGUCUGCAUUUUUCCAAUCCCUUGCGAAAGAGGGAACCUCUUCGAUUGCUGGAUUUGCCAUCAGAAACCUCGGUCUGUCCAAGACAGUAAUGACCCCAGUUCACCCUGUAAGCAAUUUCACUGGGGUUCCAGAUGCGGUUGUUUGUCUAAAUUGAGCUGCUGGUCCAUUUUACUGACUGAGAGUGCUAAGCCUGCCUAAACUUGUUCCUUGCUUUAAUUUGACCCUGCCUUGUGAGGGGAAAACAAGGCCUCCCAAAUAUUUGUAUGAAAAAUUCUGUGGGGCCGUCAUUGUAAAUCAGGCAGGCCCUCUGUAAAUUUCUUGAUAUACCCAUAUAUUUAAGUAGCCUUCCAGUGUGUAACAACAUAAUGUCUGAACCUUGGUUAGAUAAUGUUAACACCUCUGUACCAAUGAAUGAGUCCAUAGAUACCCCCACUUACGCAGAAGCCUUAUGUACACCCCCGAUUAUACCUUCAACUGUGGACGUUUCAGGCUUGGGCAACCCAUUGCCUUGACAGCUGGAGAUUACAAGGACAGUGUGCCCCGCCAUAGUCACUGUUCUGUUCUCUCUGCAUAACCAAACAGAGAGCUCUCAUAGGUCUUUCCCCUUGAAUCUCCAUAGUCGCUCUAAACAAGAACUCCCAGGAGGUGUACGUGACUCGGUUUCCCUCCGUGGCAAGAGCUUUCUUCCCAUGCGUUGGAGUGAGUGCCAAUGAACAAAUGACCAGGAAUCUCUCCCUGACACUGAACGAGUUGGCUGACUCCAAAGCCAAAGCAGUUUCAGCUCAGCAACAGUCACUUAAGUCCUUGGUCAAGGUAGUUUUGGGUAAUCAUAUAGCCCUUGAUGAUCUCCUGAGCAGGAGGCGUCUGUGCAGUGGUGAACACCUCCUGGUGCACACGGGUAAAUGCUGGGGAAGUAGAAACCCAAUUACACAAGAUUAGAGAGCAAGCAUGUUUCACCUAACCAUCCACUGUCUUGAUCUGUCCAGCUGGUGCCUUUAGGUUUGGGCUCCCGGUUUAGAGCCAUCCUGCAAACCCAGCUGACAGCAUUACUCUUAUCCUGCUCUGGACACUUGCUGUGAAGCUCUGUACCUAUUGCCUUGAACCUCUGUAGAAAUGACGUACCCAGUAAGGUGAUGCUGCUCAGCACUUUGAGAUGACCUCCAAUACCUAUGACCUCAAAGAGCUGUAGACCUUGAAUAGGAAAUGCCUGAGAGUUCUCCCUCCUGACCUUCCUCGUUACUCAAACAUGGCCUACAUGGCUUCCAACCGCUGUGCACCUCACAGCUCUGAGGCCAGGGGCAGGCAUUCCUGUGGUUUUAACUGGCACUCCCAACUUUUCAGGUGACAGAGAAUCUGAAGUGACGGGAGGGGUCAUGGCGUCUGCACAGGUGUUCUCCGGUGGGUCCUCACAUCGCCUUGGCGCAGGCCGGGGCUGGGAAGCGGUGGCCUCUGUGGCGUCUGCAUCUUAUAGUUGUCAGUGUACAAGUAUUUCAUUUCCUUGGUUAAGUGUCUUCCUAGGUAUUUUAUUCCUUUUGAUGCUAUUGUAAAUGGGAUUAUUUUCUUAAUUGCCUUUUCAGAUGGUUUGCUGUUGGUGUACAGAGAGGCAACAGAUUUUUAUAUGUUGAUUUUGUAUCCUGCUGCUUUAGUGAAUUUGUUUAUUAGAUCUAACAGUUUUUUUGUGGAGUCUUUAGGGUCUUCUACAUAUAAGAUCAUGUCAUCCGCAAACAGAUAGUUUUACUUCUUCCUUUCACUUUGGGUGCCUUUCAUUUCUUUUUCUUGCUUAAUUGUUCUGGCUUGGACUUCCAGUACUAAGCUGAACAGGACUGGAGAGCGUGGGCAUCCUUGCCUUCAUGACAUUGGUUUUCAUAAUGAUUCCUUGGAUUUGACACCAAAAGCAAAAGUAACAAAGGCAAAAAUAGACAAGUGGGUCUACACCAAACUAAAAAUCAUCUGCACACAGAGGAAACCAUCAACAGCCGUUUAAAUUAUAUUCCAGUUUGGCUCUCUUUUAGUAUUGUGCUUUGAUGAAUAUAAAUUGAUAGACUAUGAGAGAUAAGAAUGCCAACCUCAGGAGAUACACCAGAUUUUAGUGUCCCAACAUGGGCUUCAUGUAAUUUCCAUCUUUUUCAAAAAGAUGGAGCAAAUAACAGGUAGCAAUGGGCUUUCUGUAGACACAAAACACAAAGCCAAAAUGAUGUCCUUUUGCCCUCUUUUGGACAGUCUCCCCAGCGGCGUCCUGGACAUCAGAUUGCUGGGUCAAAAGCUGACAUUUUAUGGCUUUUGAGAUGUUUCUGUUAAGCCUUUUUCAGAUAAUGCCUUACAACUCUGACGAGUGUGGACUUGCUGGGUCACAUGGUAACUCUACGUGUAACUUCUGAGGAACCACGAAACCGGUUUCCGCAGCAGCUGCACCAUUUGACAUUCCCACCAGCAACGCGGAGGCUCCAGUUCCUCCCCCCCCCCACACUCCUUCUGUCCAUCUGUUGGUGAGAGCCGGUCCAGUGGGCGGGAAGUGGGGUCUCAUGGUUUCCGUCUGCAUUUCCCUGGGGGCCAGUGCCAUUGAGCACCUCCUCACGGGCUUGUCGGCCGUUUGUACAUCACGUUGGAGAAAUGUCCCUCCGACCUUUGUCCUCUUUCGAAUUGGGCUAUUUGUCGUUUGUUGGGGAGUUUUCUAUAUUCUGCACAGCAGGCCCUGAUCAGACAGGUGAUUGGCAGACAUCUUCGUUCCUCGUGCGGGCCGUCUCUGCACUCCUCGAUGGUGUCGUCUGAAGCACAGCAGUUUGCGUGUUGCUGGCGUCCCGUUGACUCAUCUGCUCUUGUGUUGCUCGUGCUUUUGGUGUCUCAGAGCACAGUCGGAUUCCCAGUGCGCCUGCGGGAAUCAUUGGCCGGCAGCCGCACGCCCCUUUGCUCAGUGCCACCCUGGGCCCGGAGCGCGCACACCGCGCUGCCGGUCAGCAGGUCAUCUGAGCACCUGGGUCCACCUUCUCCCUCCUCAUAAGCUGAAGAGAACUCUGAUCUCACGAGGACAGAAGUCCCAGGGGGCUGGGAGGGUAGCCCCUAAGCGGGAGUGCAAGAAAGUGUGAGUGUGAACCUGUGAUCCGCCAAGCCAGAUGCUGCCCGCCCUGCCUGCGGGUUUGCCCGCUCUCUGAUCAGACAGACCGGGGGGCUGGCAGCGGGGCACACAGGUUUGCUCUCUGAAGCUCUGAGUGCAGUGCUACAUUUGGAUUUUUUUGUCUUGCAUAUUAGACAUGAAGGAAGACCUGGAGACCCUGCUGGCCCUGGAAAGAGCAAAAAUAAUUGCCCAGUAUGAUCAGGGACGCCAGGCAGGGGUUCCAGUGGAUCCGCAGGAAGACCCCGAGCUCCCCCUUUCCAAGGUCACCGACCGCCUCGGUUUCCUGCAGUGAGUCACCUGGACGCCCGCUCUUUUCAUCUCAGGGAUGGUUUCUGUUGGUGGAAACACCUCUCUGGAGGCAGGACCCGUCUCCCCAGCUCAGAGCCUCGUCCCCUGGUGCCCACUGCAGUCCAGGGUCUACAGUCGGCUCCAGCUGAGAGACCAGAAGGGGCCUCAGAGUGGUGGGCAGGGGUGGAGCAGGGCCCUGGCCGGGCUGGGACACUCAGCAGUGUGGCCUCCACGCCUGCAUGAGGGAGGGCGUGAUGGUGUCCAGCGCCCACAGUCAGAGGGCACGUCCAGCCUGGCCAGCAGUGGCUCCACAGGGUGUGGCCACAGAGUGAGGGGCACCCAGUCCCACCAGUGGGAUGUUGUCCAUCAGGUCCCCAAGGGCACACGUGGUUCUAGUGUAGCAUCCACAUGGGCACAGGCACAAGGGGCAGUGAGGGAUGUGGCCUCUGGCGUUGACAGGAUAGGCAGGGGGCGCGUUCAGACAGGACCUGGCCUGGGAACCUCAUGGGAAGGGGACAGAGGCAGGCGGAGUUGGAAGGCAGCUGAAGAUGGCCUGAACCCCUGUCUGGGGCUGGGAGGAGAUUGGGGAUGGAGGCUGGGCCUUGGUGGCGAGAGAGGAGAGGAGACUGGAGGGAGAUGGGACUGGGUGGGGCAUGUGCCCCUGGACGGAGCCAGCCUGGGGCAGGACCGAAGGUGGUGAGCUCCUGGGAUGGGGCCUCCUCUCUGGGGGAGGACAGUCCAGAGCAGGGCGAGGCCUGGGGGAGGGACUCACCUGAGACGCCUGAGCCAGGGCCUCUGUCAGCCCCGAGUUCUCUGCGGUGCUCUCUGGAGACACCACCAGUCAGACCUGCAGGGGAGAAGCCAGCGAGGAGGUGCCUGAUCAGGAGGGGAGGGGAGGGAGGGUGUGGAGCAUGGAGUGGAGGAGCAGCCUGGAGGAGGAGGGAGGAGGGGAGGAGGCGUUGUGAGGGGGGAUGAGGAGGAGGCGCCGUGGGAGUGCAGAUGAAGGUGGAGGGCUCAGCAGGCCAUGUGGUGAGCCGCCUGGUAGGGACGGAGGCUGCAGACAUGGUGUGGGGCCAAUCUGGCUGCCCGCGGGCCUCAGUCACUGCCCAUCACCCAGUGGACAAGCAGCCGUUUGGACCCAUCAGGGGCGGGUCCUGCUCAGAGGUUCUGACAGCACAAGCAUUAAAAGAUGGGCCCGAGUAGCUGAAGUGACGACAAGAAACGGGUGACGUCAGGGAUAGGAGGGUGGGCGGCCAGGGGCAGGGAGAAGCAGCUGGACGCUGGACAGGCAGACCCUGCGGGGGGCGUGCGGACCUCAGUAGGAUGGCCACAGGGGGCACCCUGGCACGUUGGAUGGUUCUCAGGGCAACCCGACUCCAGGACAAUGGCAGGUCACCUCCUGUGGGGCUGCUGUCUGGGCGCAGCCCACCCCCCACGCCAGCACCGGCCCUUCUCAGGCACCGGAGGAGGGCACUGCCUCCAGCCACAGGCACCUGGCCGCCCUGCCCUCCUCUGCCCUGUGUCCGGGCUCCCUCCUAGGUCAGCCCUCCCUCCGCAGAAUCCAGGGCCCAGACUUGGGGGCUGGGGGCGGACCCUGUCCUUCUAUGGCCCCUGGCCUGGUGCAGGGCCUCAGGGCUCUGCUUCUCUUGCCUUCCAUUGAGGAGGAGCUGCCCAGCCUCACCACCCAGGAGGCGAAGCACAAACGCUGAGACAUCAGGCGAGCCGACAAGUGGCUGAAGAUGCUGAGGGACUGGGGGCAGUACCAGGGCAGCAAGAAGAUGCACAAGCGGGUCUUUAAGGGGAUCCCCCCGCAGGUGCGGGGUCGAGUGUGGUCGCUGCUGUUGGACCUGGAGAAGGUGAAGGUGGAGAAUAAAGGCAAAUACGAGAGAAUGAAGGAGCAGGCGAGGCUGUUUUCUCAGGACAUCAAACAGAUCAACCAGGAUGUGAACCGAACAUUCCGAAACCAUAUCAUGUUCUGGAACCGCGAUGGCAUCAAGCAGCAAGCCCUGUUCCAUGUGCUCGCAGCCUAUUCCGUUUACAACACCGAGGUGGGCUACUGCCAGGGCGUGAGCGAGGUCGCGGCCGUCCUGCUAAUGUUCCUGGGCGAGGAGGACGCCUUCUGGGCGCUGGCCCAGCUCAUGGUCAGCGAGAGGCAUGCCAUGCAUGGACGAGGAGCACAUGUGCACCGGCAUCUACACCGCCAAGUGCUUCCUGCAAUGCUUCAUAGACCGGACCCCCUUCUCACUCACCCUGAAGCUCUGGGACGCCUACAUCCUGAAGGGUGAGCAUGUGCUCAUGGCCAUGGCCUACACCAUGCUCAAGGUGCACAGGAGUAAAACACCUCCUGAAGCUGCCUCUGGAAGGCCUGCGGGAGUUUCUGCAGGACAGGCUGGGCAGCCCUGGGCCCUGGAGGAUAACGCAAUGCUCAGGCACCUCCAGGCCUUGAUGGUGGAGCUGCAGAGGAUGAAAUGUGAC
Non-coding RNA from Equus caballus (horse), 14064 nucleotides. NCBI's taxonomy places the organism in Eukaryota, Metazoa, Chordata, Mammalia, Perissodactyla, Equidae. The record is from RefSeq and is a predicted model, not a curated record.